Molecule: small nucleolar RNA, 134 nt
Organism: Jaculus jaculus (lesser Egyptian jerboa)
Lineage: Eukaryota; Metazoa; Chordata; Mammalia; Rodentia; Dipodidae
Gene: SNORA70
Rfam family: Small nucleolar RNA SNORA70
About the family: snoRNA U70 seems to be exclusive to mammals and is a member of the H/ACA class of snoRNA which contain H (ANANNA) and ACA box motifs. H/ACA box snoRNAs are involved in the conversion of uridines to pseudouridines (5-ribosyluracil) a constituent of structural RNAs (transfer, ribosomal, small nuclear, and small nucleolar).
Source: Ensembl
CUAUAGCCAGUUAAGCCGACUGCGUUCCUUUCCUCAUGGUGGCCCAGUGUGCAGUGGCUGCAGACAGCAGCCUCCUUGGGAGUGGAGUAACCUGUUGCUCAUGCAGGUGGCCCUAAGGGACCUUGAGGACCGUU